RNAcentral lists this ribosomal RNA (107 nucleotides) under Mecistogaster ornata. RNAcentral describes it as "partial 16S ribosomal RNA". Lineage: Eukaryota; Metazoa; Arthropoda; Insecta; Odonata; Coenagrionidae. The record is from RNAcentral.
AAACCGGUGUAAGCCAGGUCGGUUUCUAUCCUCAAAAUUCUACUAUAGUUUCUAGUACGAAAGGACCGUUAUUAUAAAAAAUUUUUUAUUUUUUUUUGAAUAUUACU